Molecule: transfer RNA, 75 nt
Filed under: Caudoviricetes sp.
Lineage: Duplodnaviria; Heunggongvirae; Uroviricota; Caudoviricetes
Description: tRNA-Trp
Rfam family: tRNA
About the family: Transfer RNA (tRNA) molecules are approximately 80 nucleotides in length. Their secondary structure includes four short double-helical elements and three loops (D, anti-codon, and T loops).
Source: RNAcentral
GCCGUAUUUGCUCAGUGGCAGAGCACUGGUCUCCAAAACCGGAUGCCGCAGGUUCGAUUCCUGCAUACGGUGCCA